CCAAGACAGCGGUUUUCAAUUUCCACACGAGAAGAAGGACAUUCUGUGUGCCACAGUGACUAGUAGUAUGGAAAGUGUGGUUCUCACAAAGGCACAGCCCUGUCAGGUAUGUAGUGAAAUGAUUCCUAUGGCUCAAACACAGCAAAUGCCUUAAAGGUAAUGACUUUCUUUUUCCAUUUCAAUAUCAUUCAGAAAUCAACCAAUCUAGAAUGGAGUGAUGGUUUGCUUCAGUCUUCAUUGAUCCAAAACAUCUUGACUGCUUGUGACUGGCUGGAUGCCAACAAAGUCCAACUUGUUGGGACAGUCCUCCAGCCAAGAAUUCUGGAAAUGGACGACGAUGAAGUUACGUACACAAUUGAAAAAUCAGAACAAAGGGGAGACGAUGAAGAUACUGAAGAAGUCAUGUCCACCUUGUUAUUUACUUUUGAAUGCAUGAAGGACAUGAACUUUUUUCUUGAUGAGAUACGGGGUAAAAAAAAAUAUUCCCAUUACUUGCUGCUGUUCUACAAAUUAGAUUUUUGUGUUUUAUUUAUUAUUUUUUUUUUUCCAGCCUUCAAAAUUUCCAAGGAACUAAAUGUGGCAGAAAGCCUACAGUGAUGUCAUUUUGUUCAGUGGAUUUGAUCAGUGAUUCACUGUAAAGAAGAGUGGGGAUGGACUGAUUUUCUGACCUGGUUCAAUAGUUCCUUGUCUACUGAAAUGACCAAUGUAAUGAAUGGAGGACACGGAUGGAUCUCCUAACUGGGAUUGUGUGCUUUAUUUCUUAAAAAUAAAUUCAUAUUUGAA
Molecule: long non-coding RNA, 783 nt
Organism: Erpetoichthys calabaricus (reedfish)
Lineage: Eukaryota; Metazoa; Chordata; Cladistia; Polypteriformes; Polypteridae
Exons: 3
Source: RefSeq, a predicted model, not a curated record